RNAcentral lists this long non-coding RNA (364 nucleotides) under Pelobates cultripes (western spadefoot toad). Lineage: Eukaryota; Metazoa; Chordata; Amphibia; Anura; Pelobatidae. The record is from RNAcentral.
CCGGCCCUGGCUGGAGGGGGCUGUGUGAGCUGUGGCCGCACAGUGUCCCAUGGUAGUUAGGGUGCCGUGCGGCCAGUUCAGCUCACUCAAGCAAACAGCUGAUAAACUGGCCGCACGGAGGAAAUGUGUAUGUGUGACUGUCUGCCUGUGACUGUGUGUGACUGUCUGCCUGUAACUGAGUGUGUGACUGUCUGUCUGUAACUGAGUGUGUAACUGUGUCUGUAACUGAGUGUGUGACUGUCUGCCUGUAAAUAUGUGUGUGGGGCUGCAGGGAUUUUGUAGAAGGGGGUGGGGGUUUUGUAUUGGGACAGGAGUCUUCAUAAGGGGGGAUAAGCAGGGGAUUUGUGGAAGGGGGUUGCGGAGG